UGCAGGUUUGCUAGAGCAAGCUUCAGGUCAGACCCCAUUGAUACAAUGUUGCUGGUUUGCUAGAGCAAGCUUCAGGUCAGACCCCGUUGAUACAAUGUUGCAGGUUUGCUAGAGCAAGCUUCAGGUCAGACCCCGUUGAUACAAUGUUGCAGGUUUGCUAGAGCAAGCUUCAGGUCAGACCCCGUUGAUACAAUGUUGCAGGUUUGCUAGAGCAAGCUUCAGGUCAGACCCCGUUGAUACAAUGUUGCAGGUUUGCUAGAGCAAGCUUCAGGUCAGACCCCGUUGAUACCAUGUUGCUGGUUUGCUAGAGCAAGCUUCAGGUCAGACCCCGUUGAUACCAU
Molecule: long non-coding RNA, 341 nt
Organism: Oncorhynchus keta (chum salmon)
Lineage: Eukaryota; Metazoa; Chordata; Actinopteri; Salmoniformes; Salmonidae
Exons: 3
Source: RefSeq, a predicted model, not a curated record